GGUCGCGGCGGUGUGCGCAGAAGGGUCUGGGCGUGAGCCUGCCUGGAGCCGCCGUCGGUGCAGAUCUUGGUGGUAGUAGCAAAUACUCCAGCGAGGCCCUGGAGGACUGACGUGGAGAAGGGUUUCGUGUGAACAGCCGUUGCACACGAGUCAGUCGAUCCUAAGCCCUAGGAGAAAUCCUAUGUCGAUGACGGUGUAUUUAGAAAGGCACACCUAGUGCACACCCGUCGGGCGAAAGGGAAUCCGGUUCCUAUUCCGGAACCCGGCAGCGGAACCGCAAUAAAUUCGGGCCCUCUUAUGAGUGUUCGGCGGGGUAACCCAAAGUGACCUGGAGACGCCGUCGGGAGAUCCGGGAAGAGUUUUCUUUUCUGUAUAAGCGUUCGAGUUCCCUGGAAACCUCUAGCAGGGAGAUAGGGUUUGGAACGCGAAGAGCACCGCAGUUGCGGCGGUGUCCGGAUCUUCCCCUCGGACCUUGAAAAUCCAGGAGAGGGCUACGUGGAGGUGUCGCGCCGGAUCGUACCCAUAUCCGCAGCAGGUCUCCCAGGUUAAGAGCCUCUAGACGAUAGAACAAUGUAGGUAAGGGAAGUCGGCAAAUUGGAUCCGUAACUUCGGG
This 613-nucleotide ribosomal RNA is filed under the name Salmonella enterica subsp. enterica serovar London. RNAcentral describes it as "partial 23S ribosomal RNA". It matches the Rfam family "Eukaryotic large subunit ribosomal RNA", at positions 1387 to 1940 of the family's 3401-position model. The record is from RNAcentral. Lineage: Bacteria; Pseudomonadati; Pseudomonadota; Gammaproteobacteria; Enterobacterales; Enterobacteriaceae.